Molecule: long non-coding RNA, 308 nt
Organism: Hippocampus comes (tiger tail seahorse)
Lineage: Eukaryota; Metazoa; Chordata; Actinopteri; Syngnathiformes; Syngnathidae
Exons: 2
Source: RefSeq, a predicted model, not a curated record
CAUGGAACAAUUGAAAACCCAAAGUCCACAAAACAAAAUGACACGAGUCCAAAAACACUAACAUAAAAUAAGUCAAAAAUAGCUUGACAAAGAAAAUACUUACAAAACCAAAAUCUAUCGAGGCGAAAGCGACUGUGAGCGAGAGCAUGAGGUCCAGAAAAUGGCACUUGGGCAUGAACAGUGAAUAAGGUCAAUAAUCCGACAAACACGAGCCAUCUUGGAAGUCCCAAAAUACAAGGAAGCUUGAUUGCAUGACGAGACACAGGUACACCGCUGAAGGGUCACGCCCAACACUCCAGCUGGUGCUG